This 229-nucleotide ribosomal RNA is filed under the name uncultured bacterium. RNAcentral's name for it is "partial 16S ribosomal RNA". It matches the Rfam family "Bacterial small subunit ribosomal RNA", at positions 568 to 796 of the family's 1533-position model. The record is from RNAcentral.
UGCGUAGGCGGAAUAUUAAGUCAGUGGUGAAAUCCUGCGGCUCAACCGUAGAACUGCCAUUGAUACUGAUAUUCUUGAAUGUAGUUGAGGUAGGCGGAAUGUGUAAUGUAGCGGUGAAAUGCUUAGAUAUUACACAGAACACCGAUUGCGAAGGCAGCUUACUAAACUAUGAUUGACGCUGAGGCGCGAAAGCGUGGGGAGCGAACAGGAUUAGAUACCCUGGUAGUCC